RNAcentral lists this transfer RNA (73 nucleotides) under Planctomycetia bacterium. Its description in RNAcentral is "tRNA-Lys". It matches the Rfam family "tRNA". From Rfam's summary of the family: Transfer RNA (tRNA) molecules are approximately 80 nucleotides in length. Their secondary structure includes four short double-helical elements and three loops (D, anti-codon, and T loops). The record is from RNAcentral. Lineage: Bacteria; Pseudomonadati; Planctomycetota; Planctomycetia.
GCCCUGUUAGCUCAGUCGGUAGAGCAGCUGACUCUUAAUCAGCGGGUCGUAGGUUCGAGUCCUACACAGGGUA